This 372-nucleotide ribosomal RNA is filed under the name uncultured bacterium. RNAcentral's name for it is "bacterial SSU rRNA". It matches the Rfam family "Bacterial small subunit ribosomal RNA", at positions 523 to 898 of the family's 1533-position model. The record is from RNAcentral.
AUACGUAGGUGGCAAGCGUUGUCCGGAUUUACUGGGCGUAAAGGGUACGUAGGCGGCCAGAUAAGUCAGAUGUGAAAGGCAUGGGCUUAACCCGUGUUAGCAUUUGAAACUGUGUGGCUUGAGUUAAGGAGAGGAAAGUGGAAUUCCUGGUGUAGCGGUGAAAUGCGUAGAUAUCAGGAGGAAUACCAGUGGCGAAGGCGACUUUCUGGACUUAAACUGACGCUGAGGUACGAAAGCGUGGGGAGCAAACAGGAUUAGAGACCCUGGUAGUCCACGCCGUAAACGAUGAGUGCUAGGUGUCGGGGGUCGAACCUCGGUGCCGGAGCUAACGCAUUAAGCACUCCGCCUGGGGAGUACGUUCGCAAGAAUGAA